Molecule: long non-coding RNA, 889 nt
Filed under: Homo sapiens (human)
Lineage: Eukaryota; Metazoa; Chordata; Mammalia; Primates; Hominidae
Description: HSALNT0377896
Source: RNAcentral
AAAAUUAAAAAAAAAUAGGCAGUUGCCACUUUGUAGAUCAUAAAUAAAAGUGAUGUUAAAAAAAUUUUAAUUGGGAGGUCAUUAAGCCGAAGCAUUCCCAGCACUUUAAGUUCCUAGGUAAGCAAACCAAAGCCCAAUGUGAACAGUAAAAUGAAACUAGAGAAGUUACCAUCAGAAACCUCCAACUAACCUCUAACUAGGGACUUUCUACUCUAACAAAUCAAAUAUGUUUUCUUUGUCUUACUUCCACGUUCCGCCUAUUAAAGCUCACUACCCAUGCUGCUGGGUAGAGCUCUCUGAACCUUUUCUGGUUCUGGGUGCUGCCCAAUUCAUGAAUCCUCUAAUGCUCACAUAAACUCUGUUAAAAGUAUUGUGUCCAGUGUUUUUCUUUUAACAGUGGCAAAAAGACUAACUUACAGGUUCCAUUUUUGUUGACUUGAAUCUUUCGACUCUGAACAAGAGGGACCCCUCACUGGAAUCUCUGUUUUUAUUAUGAUUUUUAUAUAAUGUGCUAGUUUUUACAGAAGUAAUUCAAGUGUACUCCGACAUAUAUGGCUUAAAAACUUUGAUUCAUCAGAAUAAGAGUCAUUUUCUAUUUUACACUCUACUUUCUGCUACAGAAUUAUUUCCAGUUGUCAUGUAUUAAGAUGGAACCCAAAGAAGACAUCAUCCAGCAAGUAACCUUAACAUCUGGACGCAGACAGCCCCAGCAAUCCUGGAGGAAACCUUGGAAAUACGCGGGUCAUCUUCUAUGAAGACCACAGCAGCCCUGAGAAACCAAUACAGCGUUCCAAUCUUUAAAAGAAGAGCCAAACGUCAUGCCUGGAUUAUUCCAGAAUUUUGCUGCUACGAACAAUGCUGCUAAGAUGAGUGUCUUCAAUCACUUGCA